UACGAAGGGGGCUAGCGUUGUUCGGAAUCACUGGGCGUAAAGCGCACGUAGGCGGAUCUUUAAGUCAGAGGUGAAAUCCUGGAGCUCAACUCCAGAACUGCCUUUGAUACUGGGGAUCUCGAGUCCGGGAGAGGUGAGUGGAACUGCGAGUGUAGAGGUGAAAUUCGUAGAUAUUCGCAAGAACACCAGUGGCGAAGGCGGCUCACUGGCCCGGUACUGACGCUGAGGUGCGAAAGCGUGGGGAGCAAACAGGG
RNAcentral lists this ribosomal RNA (254 nucleotides) under uncultured bacterium. RNAcentral describes it as "partial 16S ribosomal RNA". It matches the Rfam family "Bacterial small subunit ribosomal RNA", at positions 524 to 777 of the family's 1533-position model. The record is from RNAcentral.